This 1506-nucleotide long non-coding RNA is filed under the name Androctonus crassicauda. Lineage: Eukaryota; Metazoa; Arthropoda; Arachnida; Scorpiones; Buthidae. The record is from RNAcentral.
AACUAACAUCACUCAUAGGGAAAAAAACGAAAUUACUUUCCGAACAACCCAAUAGAAAUCCUCUACUGAUUUAAAUAUUCGAUAUCAUUACUAUAAAUAUCGAUAUUUUUGAGAAAUAUCGGAUAACAUAUAUUAUUCGUAAAAAUGUAUGAAAUAAUUUCAAGAGUCGAUAUUUUUCAUUAUUUUAGCAUUACCAAUAUAUAGUAUAAUUAUGAGACUCAUUAAGUACAUACGCUGACAUCAUAUGGUGGUAGAGAGUUAUGUUAAUAAUCUGAGCUUGAGAAAAUUCAAAGGAUGGCCUGUCAGAGCAGCAUAGGAGCUGAGAACUAUUGCUCUUCUGUUUAUGAAAUAUUUUCUGGCAUUUCCCUUUAAAUCUAAAUGUCGAGGCUAGAGCCUAGGAUCAUUUUUUAAGUUUCGUUGUUUUGGAAGAAUUUUUGGACUUACGAACUGGAACAUCUAUCUUUUGAAUGGGAUAAGACCAAACGAUUUAGUGAUUCAGUUUUAUCAGACCCUAUUGUUUUAUCUAGUGUAGAAGAAUGCAGGGUAAAUUUGGGUACAGUGUCAAGGAUGGAAUGGUCUGGUAUUCAGAUGGUUUUAAAACCACUAAUAGUGUAUGUACAGGGAUUUAUUGCCCAUGCGCCAGUACAGACGAUGAUGAAAAAUUCUUUUUCCCUUGGAAGGUUUGCCACUGUCUUCAGGUAGAAAUCCAUUCUAUUUCUGCAUGAUUGUCAAAAUAAUUAUUAACAGAGGAUAUGUUAAUAAACAUAAUUAUAAUUUAUCAGAUAAACAACUUGCAUAAAAAGCACUAGAUGGUUCUAAUCUUACAUGGAAGAUAUGAUCUUCUAUGGUUGCAUUUUCAUGCACUUAAAAAUCUAUUUACAGUCCCAUUGAAGAAGAAUUUAUCUUUUGUGUGUAUGAUGAGGCUUCCUAAGAGAUUAUCCUCUUAUAAAAGCACAAGAGAUCACUGGAUGAUCACGGUGCUAGUGCUAAUUGAAGAAUCCUCAUUUUAUUAUUGCUAAUUAUUUCAAAUAAUUUGCAAUACAUAUAUAAUAUAGUUAAAAUCUAAGCACUGACAGGAGUAGGUUAAUCAUUAAAGAAGUAGAUUAAUCGGCGCUUAGAUUUUAACUAUAUUAUCUUGGUAGAGCAGUUAUACGUUAUAAUAGUAUUACUUAUAUUAGUGUAUCUCCUGGCUGGCUUCGGUAUAUCAUUGGUACUUCCAAUCAGACGAGAGAUCAAUCACAGAUGCGAGUUCAAUUUCCUGGUCACACAUUUCAGAAUUUUUCAGAACAGCAGGCAUGGUAUAUCGAGCCGCAUCUUUCAUCUGUAGCUGAUUCCAUCAGAAAUAUGGAAGACAUACACUAAACACAUGACGUACACUAACAUGAUCUCCAGCUUAGUAUUCAGCAGUAAGAAAGUCGGUCAUAAAUCAUUGAAAGAAAUAUGCAUAUAUAUUUCUUUCAUGGAUUUAUGCCGACUUCCUUAUUGUUUUAUAUUGUGUGGGAGAAC